Molecule: long non-coding RNA, 1147 nt
Organism: Choloepus didactylus (southern two-toed sloth)
Lineage: Eukaryota; Metazoa; Chordata; Mammalia; Pilosa; Megalonychidae
Exons: 4
Source: RefSeq, a predicted model, not a curated record
GAAGAGCACAGGCCUUGCUCCCCGCCCGGGAAGGUGCCUCCGGCUCUGGGAAAUCUCCCUGGCAGGGGCAGCUCCCCACUCCGUGCCCUCUGUCCCCUGGGCGACUGCGCCUCCUGGGGCUCGGCGCCGUCCCACACCCCAGCCCGGUUCUCAAAGCUUCUUUGUUCCGCCGGGCCUAGCCGCGGCCGGCCCGGACCUGAUAAGGCCUGGUUGGGCAGAUAGCGGCCCAGCCCUGCUCACCUGCCAAGCCACACCCGGCCGCCUCGCACGCACGCCUCAUCCACCCAGCUGGUCACAGACCCAGGGACUCUUCCCCCUACGGAGCGGCAAGGUUUGACGCCGCGGCUGGCCUGCCCUGCAGCCCAGUUAAGCCUCCUCAACCACAUGGGGAAGCAGGAGAAGGGAAUUGUUAUCCCUAUUUCACAGAUGAAGAAACUGAGGCCCAGAGAGGCGACGUUGCUUUCCCAAGGUACACAGUAGCAGAGUCCAGGCCAGAACCCAGGUCUCCUGCAGCAGCAAACUGAGGAAUGGGGGAACUGUUCUCUUGGGAGAAACCAGACCACCCUGGGACUGCUGUGCUGGAGAGGCUAUAGAUAGGUGUCCCAUCCACAGCUGAGCUGAGCUCCCAGCCUGAAGCCAGCAUCAGCUGUCAGCCACAUGAGCGCGCCAUCUUGGAUGUCCCGCCCAGUGGAGCCUUCAGAUGGCUGCAGCCCUGGCCAGCAUCUGACUACAGUGGCAUGAGAGACCCCAAGGGAAAAUUGCGUGGCCAAACCUUCCAGGAUUCCUGACCCCAAAAUUGUGUGAAGAGCCUUGUGGUUCUGGAAGGAAAAAAGCUCAUGGAUCUGGGCUAGUGGUAGCAAGGAAUUACACAUGGCCAAGUGGAAAGAAAUGCUAUUAAAGGUUUUAAAAACCCAAAUUUUAAAUGUUGAAGAAAGUGCUCAGAGUUUGGGGCUGCCUGGAAAGGGGCUGGACACUCCUGUGGACAGUUUCUGGUGACAUUUGCCUGGAGUGCCUCUGCAAGCAGGAGCUUGCAGGGCCUUGGUGAAAAGGUCCAUGAAAAUGAACCAGAAAGCACCUUGUUGCCCUAAUGAACUCUGGGCGUGUCUGCAUCUGGCUUCUGCACAUACCUCUAAGUGCCCAACUAGGA